This 301-nucleotide ribosomal RNA is filed under the name uncultured bacterium. Its description in RNAcentral is "partial 16S ribosomal RNA". It matches the Rfam family "Bacterial small subunit ribosomal RNA", at positions 509 to 807 of the family's 1533-position model. The record is from RNAcentral.
CAGUAGCCGCGGUAAUACGAAGGGUGCAAGCGUUACUCGGAAUUACUGGGCGUAAAGCGUGCGUAGGUGGUGGUUUAAGUCCGUUGUGAAAGCCCUGGGCUCAACCUGGGAAUUGCAGUGGAUACUGGGUCACUAGAGUGUGGUAGAGGAUAGUGGAAUUUCCGGUGUAGCAGUGAAAUGCGUAGAGAUCGGAAGGAACAUCUGUGGCGAAGGCGACUAUCUGGGCCAACACUGACACUGAGGCACGAAAGCGUGGGGAGCAAACAGGAUUAGAGACCCGCGUAGUCCCUGUCUCUUAUAC